This 253-nucleotide ribosomal RNA is filed under the name uncultured bacterium. Its description in RNAcentral is "partial 16S ribosomal RNA". It matches the Rfam family "Bacterial small subunit ribosomal RNA", at positions 524 to 776 of the family's 1533-position model. The record is from RNAcentral.
UACGGAGGGUGCAAGCAUUGAUCGGAAUUACUGGGCGUAAAGGGCGCGUAGGCGGCAAAGCAAGUCAGAUGUGAAAUUCCGGGGCUCAACCCCGGAGCUGCAUUUGAAACUACUUAGCUAGUGUGCAGUUAGGGUAAACGGAAUUCCACGUGUAGCGGUGAAAUGCGUAGAUAUGUGGAAGAACACCGGUGGUGAAAACGGUUUACUGGGCUGUAACAGACGCUGAAGCGCGAAAGCAUGGGGAGCAAACAGG